AAAAUAUUUGGAUCGUCAGACUACUGAGUACGAAAUUCCACCCGCUCGGUGGAAGAUCUUCCCUUUGUAAU
This 71-nucleotide microRNA precursor is filed under the name Bombyx mori (domestic silkworm). Its description in RNAcentral is "mir-2774 microRNA precursor family". It matches the Rfam family "mir-2774 microRNA precursor family". Lineage: Eukaryota; Metazoa; Arthropoda; Insecta; Lepidoptera; Bombycidae. The record is from Rfam by way of RNAcentral.